RNAcentral lists this ribosomal RNA (484 nucleotides) under uncultured bacterium. RNAcentral describes it as "partial 16S ribosomal RNA". It matches the Rfam family "Bacterial small subunit ribosomal RNA", at positions 30 to 507 of the family's 1533-position model. The record is from RNAcentral.
AUUGAACGCUGGCGGCAGGCCUAACACAUGCAAGUCGAGCGGAUGAAGGGAGCUUGCUCCUGGAUUCAGCGGCGGACGGGUGAGUAAUGCCUAGGAAUCUGCCUGGUAGUGGGGGAUAACGUCCGGAAACGGGCGCUAAUACCGCAUACGUCCUGAGGGAGAAAGUGGGGGAUCUUCGGACCUCACGCUAUCUGAUGAGCCUAGGUCGGAUUAGCUAGUUGGUGGGGUAAAGGCCUACCAAGGCGACGAUCCGUAACUGGUCUGAGAGGAUGAUCAGCCACACUGGAACUGAGACACGGUCCAGACUCCUACGGGAGGCAGCAGUGGGGAAUAUUGGACAAUGGGCGAAAGCCUGAUCCAGCCAUGCCGCGUGUGUGAAGAAGGUCUUCGGAUUGUAAAGCACUUUAAGUUGGGAGGAAGGGCAGUAAGUUAAUACCUUGCUGUUUUGACGUUACCAACAGAAUAAGCACCGGCUAACUUCGUG